GAUCAUGGCUCAGGAUAAACGCUGGCGGCGCACAUAAGACAUGCAAGUCGAACGAACUUAACCAUUAGUUUACUAUUGGAGCGGUUAGUGGCGGACUGGUGAGUAACACGUAAGCAACCUGCCUAUCAGAGGGGAACAACAGUUAGAAAUGACUGCUAAUACCGCAUAUGCCUUGAGUAUCACAUGGUACAAAAGGGAAAGGAGCAAUCCGCUGAUAGAUGGGCUUGCGU
RNAcentral lists this ribosomal RNA (230 nucleotides) under uncultured bacterium. RNAcentral's name for it is "partial 16S ribosomal RNA". It matches the Rfam family "Bacterial small subunit ribosomal RNA", at positions 15 to 236 of the family's 1533-position model. The record is from RNAcentral.